UCUACUCUCUGGUUUUCAACCAGAGAGAACCCUAAAUCUCCCAAAAACCUUGGAAAAUUUAGCCAAUAAAAAGGUUGAAAUUCGAGGUUUUCAUCUCUUUGAUGCUGAAAUGCAAACCCUAAUCCUCUGCGAGGUCUCCAUUAGGGCACCAUUUCAGCUUCCCAGCCCCAGAGAACCAUCAGUGUCCCCUUUCCUCACUUAUUCGAUUCCACUGAGAAAUUGGAGCCAUUCUCAUCGGAUUUCACCAAGGAGAUCGAAUAGAAAUCUGGAAGCUUCUUCCAGCAAUACAAUUCUAGAUUUGAGUGAAAUUGAUUGUGUUUUCAAUAAUGUUGAUGACUUCCAUGAAGAUACUGGUCUUAUGGUUGGGAGCCACUCUUCUAGUUGUCAAGAAAAUAGUGGAUUUUCACUGUCAGAUAUAUAUAAUGGGAUUAAAUUUGCAGCUUUGUGUGGAUAGCUUGCUUUCCAUGGAUCUCCAUAUGCAGUUGCAGAGAUGGAAUUCAUUGGUGGAAUACAGGCUAUGAGUUAUUUGGGGGAUCUUGGUGAUCUCAGUACAGAGACAUGAGCUGUUUCCUAGAUGGUACUUCAAAUAUAGCAAGAGAAAUUGUUUGUGUACUCAGUCAUUAGAUGUACUAAAGAAGUGUUCCCUUUGUACCACAGUCUUGCAUAUUGCAAUGCCCUUUUAGCAGCUUGGAAUUCUGGAUCUGUUGUUUUUAUUGGCGCUUUUGGUGCACUUGCGUAAGUUCAAUCACUCGGCAUGGCAAUCAUAGCUUGCUGCACUUCUCAUUUCUGUCAUGUGGCUCCAUUUCUUCAAACUAACCACAUCCAGAAAGAUUCGGCAUUCUACUUGUUACUUCUAAAUAUAUAUUUUUGUAGGUAGAACUAAUUCAAUUGGAGAUAUUGGAAACUUGUGAUGAUUCAAUGGAAGCACCUUCAACAGAACAUAACAUUUUGAUAUGAAGUCAACUGACUAUGCACAAAUGAUUUUUACACCUUUCUUGAUAGGAUCCAAAUUUGAAUUCAAUUGGACUGUACCCUAACAAGUAUCACAGGUUCAUGGCAAUUAACUAUUGAAAUGGGUAAAUACACAGGUUAAAGACCAUCCCUUGUCCUGUCACAACCAUAUUACUAUUUUUAUUUUACUCUAUAUUGUCGAUGAACUUUUGUAGAUUUAUUGUUUUUAAUCCUUGGAGAAGCAACAUAUUGUAGUUAUUAUCAUAUGCAUCAAUUAAUGAGAACAAUUUCAACAAGUGCAUGUGGCAUUAUAUAUAAAAAAACUCAUAUAGUUUUCAUUUUUGGAAAGAGUGAAUGUUUCAAUUAAAUGUUCCUGAUCUGAACUGAUUCUUUUCUUUUUUUUGUCGGUUGGCAUGGUAAGGUAAAUUGGUUUUCUUGAUACUUGAGAACUCUUCAUGUCAUAACUGGGCAAUGAUGGUUGUAUCUGUAAUUAUUGGGAGCACAUUCCACUGAUGGCUUCCUUCCAUUCAGACUUGGUGAGACAGAUUUGUCAAUUGUUGAUAUUGCAGCAGCCUGCCUCUUGGUAACUUUAAUCUGUAUAAAAAAACCUACUGAUAUUUUAUAAGAGUUUGGUUGUUUCUUUA
This is a long non-coding RNA of Dioscorea cayenensis subsp. rotundata (Guinea yam), 1595 nucleotides long. RefSeq lists it as uncharacterized. Lineage: Eukaryota; Viridiplantae; Streptophyta; Magnoliopsida; Dioscoreales; Dioscoreaceae. The record is from RefSeq and is a predicted model, not a curated record. The transcript has 5 exons.